GAGCCUUGCGGGACUCCAGCUGUGAGAG
Molecule: small RNA, 28 nt
Filed under: Bombyx mori (domestic silkworm)
Lineage: Eukaryota; Metazoa; Arthropoda; Insecta; Lepidoptera; Bombycidae
Description: ovarian small RNA-15799
Source: RNAcentral